ACUCUAAUAGUUUAUAAUAAAACACUGGUCUUGUAAACCAGAGACUGAAGACUUACCUCUUCUUAGAGUA
RNAcentral lists this transfer RNA (70 nucleotides) under Sakesphorus luctuosus. Its description in RNAcentral is "tRNA-Thr". It matches the Rfam family "tRNA". From Rfam's summary of the family: Transfer RNA (tRNA) molecules are approximately 80 nucleotides in length. Their secondary structure includes four short double-helical elements and three loops (D, anti-codon, and T loops). Lineage: Eukaryota; Metazoa; Chordata; Aves; Passeriformes; Thamnophilidae. The record is from RNAcentral.